This 6076-nucleotide long non-coding RNA is filed under the name Aquilegia coerulea. Its description in RNAcentral is "long non-coding RNA (ACOE_LNC001176)". The record is from RNAcentral. Lineage: Eukaryota; Viridiplantae; Streptophyta; Magnoliopsida; Ranunculales; Ranunculaceae.
AUUUGGGUUUAAUCAUCCAAUGGGAGGGCUAACUAUUUGAUGCAGAACAGUGCUGACGUCAUUGCUGACGUCAUCACCAGCAAGGCUGACAUCAUCGUCAGAAAUUUAUUUUUUUAUUUUCUUUUUAUCUUAUUUAGUAAUUUCUAAUUUAGAGUCUAGAAGUUCUAGAAUAGUUGGUUUACUACUAAGUUGAUAUUAGUAAUACAAUUCAAAGUAGGAUUUGUAUUUUGAUUUCUUUGUUUAGGAAGUCCUAGUGCUAGUUGGUCUUAGUCUUUAGUCUAUAUAAAGAGUCAUGCUUUGUAGAACCAAUUCAAUUAUUCAAUCAAUACAAUUAAGAUUUGUCUCUACAAUUUAGUUUUCUCUAGUUUUAUAUUAGUUCUUCAUUGUUUCAAGGCAAACCUCCCCUUGGGUUAUUCAAGGUUUGAUUUUUAAUCGCUUCCGCUACGUCAAUUGGUAUCAAGAGCUUCGUUUCGAUCCUACAAUGGUUAAUGACGGAGAUUCUUCACCCCGCUCCCAAGUCGGUAAUCUUGGAGAUUAUGUGACGAAGGUUGAAUUCAAUUCGGCUAUUAAUCGUCUCACCGCUUCAAUCGAUAAUCUUACUCUUCGAUUUGAUAAGUUGGAAGGUAAGCAACCUAAUGUUGAUGCUCCCACCCUCCCACCCUUUACUAUGACCAAUAUAUCUCAACCACCCCAAUUUUCCACCACCACCACAACUUUACCACAAGGUUCCAAUAUUGACUUCACAUCUCUCCCUAUUCAUGGUUGCCCCCAAACACCACAAAACCUAUUUUCACAUCCCUACCCAUACAAACAACCCUAUAAUAACUCCCAACCAUCUCAACUCUCCAAUACUCCACAAGUUCGCACCACUUAUACGACUAUUGCUUCUCAAUCUCAAUCUCGCUACGAACUCCUACAUUCAACCAACAAUGUCCCACCCACUACACAAAAUUUUCAACCACCCCCCAAUCUUCCUAUUAAUCGUUUUCAACAAACUUAUCACCGUCGCGCCCCUCGAGCACCAAAUUCUUAUCUUGAUGAUCAUGAUAGUGAUGAUGAUGCUGAAAAUUACUAUCAACAAGCAUGCCCUCAACCUCAACCUCAACAACACCACAACAAUAAUUUUCGUACUCAAUCUGACCAGUUUCGUAUGAAAAUUGAUCUCCCUACUUUUACUGGUAAUAUGCAUAUUGAGGAGACUCUUGAUUGGAUUCAUGAAGUUGAGAAUUUCUUUGAGUACAUGGAUACUCCUGAACAUGCACAAGUUAAGCUUGUGGCAUAUAAACUCAAACAAGGUGCUUCUGCUUGGUGGGAACAACUCAAGGCUCGUCGUCGAAAGAAUAAUAAGCGAGAUAUUGUUUCUUGGGCACGUAUGAAAACUUUGAUUAUGGAGCGUUUCUUGCCUAAGGAUUAUGAGCAAAUUUUAUACAACCAACUGCUAUCGUGUCGCCAAGGAUCUCGUAGUGUUGAUGACUAUGCUGCUGAGUUUCAUCGCUUGGUAUCUCAAAAUAACAUCGUGGAAAGUGAAGAUCAAUUAGUUACUCGUUUUCGUAAUGGUUUGAAUAGGAAUAUCGUGGAGAAGAUUUUUCACUCAAUUCCUACCUUGGCCGAUGCAAUUCAAAUCGCACUCAACAUUGAGCAACAUAAUGGUUUCCGCUCGAAUUCUAGUAAGUCAUACUCUUCUCCAUCAUCUUCUUCUUAUCCAAAUCGUCGCAACAACUACAACCCUUCACCAUCAUCUACUGCACACCACAAUAAUCAAAAUUCUCCAAACACUAACUAUUCACCCAACACUCCUACAAACAAUCAAGCCACACUUGCUUCCAACGAUGAUCAACCUCCACCUACCAAAGCUCCACAAACCACCCAACCAAGCAAAACCAAUCCAUAUGCUUACCCUACCAUGCCCAAUUGUUACCGUUGCGGCCAACCUGGACAUAAGCAACAUGAAUGUCCAAAACGAGACAAGUCUAGAGUUAACUUUAUUGAUCAUGAUGAAAACGAUUGCGAUGAUGACUAUGAUGAAGAUUACUAUGAUAAAUGUGAACCUAGUAAUGAGAUUCAAUAUGAAGUGGAUGCUCCAUUCCUGGGUGUUAUUCGAAGGCUUCUCUAUGCUCCUUCUCAACCGGUGAAUUCUGAACGAAAAAGGAUCUUUCAGACUCGUUGUCAAGUUAAGGAUAAGGCUGUUAAUUUAAUUAUUGAUGGUGGUUCCCAUGAUAAUUAUGUUUCUACUUAUAUGGUGACUAGGUUGGAUCUACCAGUGACUCCACAUCCUAAGCCUUAUUCCGUUGGUUGGGUUAAGGAUGGUCACUCACUCAUGGUGACUACUCAAUGUCGUGUUCCAUUUUCUCUUGGUAAGUAUCAUGAUGAGGUUCUUUGUGAUGUUCUUGAUAUGGAUGCUAGCCAUUUGUUACUUGGUCGACCUUGGCAAUGGGAUCGUCGUGCUAUGUAUGAUUGUUAUGCCAAUACAUUUACCUUUAAGAAAGAUGAUGAAAAACAUACUUUAGGUUCUAUGCGUCCAAAACCUGUUCAUGAAGUUUCUAAAGUCGAAGAACGAACUUGUUUGAUUUCUAAGGACCAUGAAGAGGAUUUCAAAAAGACUGACACAAUCUAUGCUCUUGUACUUAAGGAAGAAAAGAGAGAAGAAUCAAAAAUUCCCAUGGUUGUCCAACCUUUAUUGGAUGAAUUCAAAACUAUCAUACCCACCGAUCUACCUUCAUCAUUGCCUCCAAUGCGUGAUAUUCAACAUCACAUUGAUUUGAUGCCUGGUGCAAGUCUUCCCAAUCUUCCCCACUAUCGUAUGGCACCUAAAGAACAUGAAGAGCUUCGACGCCAAGUUCAUGAUUUACUCGAGAAAAGCCUCAUUCGCCCUAGUAUGAGUCCUUGUGCAGUUCCUGCUUUGCUUGUGCCAAAGAAAGAUGGUUCUUGGCGUAUGUGUGUUGAUAGUCGUGCAAUCAACCAAAUUACCAUUCGCUACAGGUUUCCUAUUCCUCGCUUGGAUGAUAUGCUUGAUAUGCUUAUUGGUUCUAAAGUGUUCUCUAAGAUUGAUUUAAAGAGUGGUUAUCAUCAAAUCCGCAUACGACCGGGAGAUGAAUGGAAAACUGCUUUCAAGACAAAGGAUGGUCUUUAUGAAUGGAUGGUAAUGCCUUUUGGUUUGUCAAAUGCCCUAAGCACAUUUAUGCGUUUGAUGACUAAAGUGUUGCAGCCUCUCAUUGGAAAGUUCGUUGUCGUAUAUUUUGAUGACAUAUUAAUUUAUAGUCAGAAUGAGCAACAACACAUGUGUCAUCUUUAGGAAGUCUUCAAGGUUCUCUAUGAUAAUUCGCUUCUCAUCAACAUCAAGAAGUGUGAUUUCAUGACAGACCGCAUUCUUUUUCUUGGCUACAUUGUAAGUGCUUCAGGUAUACAUGUUGAUGAAGACAAGGUGAAAGCAAUACGAGAAUGGCCUACACCUCGUACAAUUCAUGAUGUCCGUUCUUUCCAUGGUUUGGCUACUUUUUACCGACGUUUUGUCAAGAACUUCGGCUCUAUUGCAGCUCCUUUGACACAUUGUAUGCGAGGUACUAAAUUUGAAUGGACUGAAGAAGCCGACAAAAGUUUUAACUUACUUAAAGACAAGCUUUCUACAGCCCCGGUUCUCGCUCUACCUGAUUUUUCCAAGAUUUUUGAAGUAGAUUGUGAUGCUUCCAUCAUGGGUAUUGGCGCUGUUCUUUCUCAAGAAGGUAAGCCUCUUGCAUUUUUUAGUGAGAAACUUAGUGAUGCUCGAAAGAAAUGGUCUACUUAUCAAUUGGAACUCUUUGCGUUGGUUCAAACAUUGCGUCAUUGGCAUCACUAUCUGAUCCAUAGGGAAUUUAUUCUCUACACUGACCACCAAGCUUUGCAAUUCCUUCAAAGCAGUUCCAAGACAAAUCGAAUGCAUGACAGAUGGAAAGACACAAUUGACAAAUACACUUUUGUGAUUAAGCACAAAUCAGGUCAACAAAACAAAGUAGCUGAUGCCCUCAGUCGAAGAGCUUCUUUGCUCGUUACAGUCAACACCGAUAUUGUUGGGUUUGAUUAUUUGAAGGAUUUAUAUGAUGAUGAUCCUGAUUUUUCAGAUAUGUGGAUUAAAUGCUCUCAAAAUCAAUCUGGUACAGAUGAUUUCAUUAUUCAGGAUGGUUUUCUUUUCAAGGGAAAUCACUUGUGCAUUCCUCAGGGCUCCCUUAGAGAACAUAUCAUUCGUGAAAUGCAUGCUGGAGGUCUCACAGGUCACAUGGGUCGUGACAAGACUAUUGCUUCGAUUGAAGAAAGGUAUUAUUGGCCUUCCCUAAAAAGAGAUGUUGGUAAUCUCAUUCAGCGGUGUUAUAUUUGUCAAACCGCAAAAGGUCAAUCUCAAAAUACUGGCUUGUACACACCAUUACCGGUUCCUAAUGCACCAUGGGUUGAUGUUUCUAUGGAUUUUAUCUUGGGUCUCCCUCGGACUCAAAGAGCUGUUGAUUCGGUUAUGGUUGUUGUAGAUAGUUUCUCCAAGAUGGCUCAUUUUAUUCCUUGCAAGAAGACAUCGGAUGCUCCAAUAUUGCUACUUUAUUCUUCAAGGAAAUUGUUCGUUUACAUGGAGUUCCAAAAUCUAUUACUUCAGACCGUGACACCAAAUUUUUAAGUUACUUCUGGAAGACUUUGUGGAUGAGACUUGGCACUUCCUUGAAAUUUAGUAGUACUUCUCACCCACAAACUGAUGGUCAAACUGAAGUUGUGAAUCGAACAUUGGGAAAUUUGAUUCGUUGUCUCUCUGGUGACAAACCAAAACAAUGGGAUCUUGUUUUGCCUCAAGCCGAGUUUGCUUACAAUACCUCAAAGAGUCGUACUACAGGAUAUUCUCCUUUUCAAAUUGUCUAUGCUAAAGUUCCCAAUCAUACCCUUGACCUUGUCUCUUUGCCUAAAGUUUCAGGUAUGAAUUUUGAUGCAGAUGCAAUGGUUGAUAGUAUGACUCAGCUUCACGACACAGUCAAGAAGAAUAUUGAGAAUUCUAAUACUCAUUACAAGGAAGAUGCUGAUAAACAUCGUCGUUCUCAAACAUUCGAAGUUGGAGACUUAGUAAUGGUGCAUUUGCGUAAAGAGAGAUUUCCUGUAGGUACUUACAACAAGUUGAAAAUGAAGAAGAUUGGUCCCCUAAAGAUUCUUCGCAAGAUCAAUGACAAUGCUUAUAUUGUCGAUCUUCCGAGUGACAUGCAUAUUUCCAAGACCUUCAAUGUCAAAGAUAUCUAUCAUUUUCAUGCUGAUGAUACUUCUAACUCGAGGACGAGUUCUUUUAAAGAAGAGGGGACUGAUGCAGAACAGUGCUGACGUCAUUGCUGACGUCAUCACCAGCAAGGCUGACAUCAUCGUCAGAAAUUUAUUUUUUUAUUUUCUUUUUAUCUUAUUUAGUAAUUUCUAAUUUAGAGUCUAGAAGUUCUAGAAUAGUUGGUUUACUACUAAGUUGAUAUUAGUAAUACAAUUCAAAGUAGGAUUUGUAUUUUGAUUUCUUUGUUUAGGAAGUCCUAGUGCUAGUUGGUCUUAGUCUUUAGUCUAUAUAAAGAGUCAUACUUUGUAGAACCAAUUCAAUUAUUCAAUCAAUACAAUUAAGAUUUGUCUCUACAAUUUAGUUUUCUCUAGUUUUAUAUUAGUUCUUCCUUUUUUCAAGGCAAACCUCCCCUUGGGUCAAGGUUUGAUUUUUAAUCGCUUCCGCUACGUCACUAUUCCAUGCCACGAAGAUUCCUUCAUCGAACUAACUAGUCUGUUGAUUGGCUCAUAAGUAAGAUGAUGAGCAGAUCCUGCAGCAGUGCUGCUCCUUGGAGGCUGGUUCCUUCAAAUUAAACCAUCCAAUUUUUUUAGAUGUUAAAGUAGGCAAUCAUGUAGACAUAAGUUUGUAUUAGAUAUACGGGAGGCAAAACAUACAAGCGUCUCCCUUUUACGACAUCAAUGAUUAGAAAUUAUUUUCAAUCUAGUUGACUGAUUAAUAAAGGAGGUCGUCUCUCAUUUUGAAAUCAUCACUUUGAUCUUUGAAUGACUCAUUUCAACAGAAGAAGGCAUGAGUAUUUGACCACUCAUGAAGCAUUUCUGC